UACAGAGGUCCCAAGCGCUGUUCGGAUUCAUUGGGCGUAAAGGGUGCGUAGGUGGCGCCGUAAGUGGGGUGUGAAAUUUCGGAGCUUAACUCCGAAACUGCAUUCCAUACUGCGGUGCUUGAGGACUGGAGAGGAGACUGGAAUUUACGGUGUAGCAGUGAAAUGCGUAGAGAUCGUAAGGAAGACCAGUGGCGAAGGCGGGUCUCUGGACAGUUCCUGACACUGAGGCACGAAGGCCAGGGGAGCAAACGGG
Molecule: ribosomal RNA, 253 nt
Filed under: uncultured bacterium
Lineage: Bacteria
Description: partial 16S ribosomal RNA
Rfam family: Bacterial small subunit ribosomal RNA
Source: RNAcentral